UUAAACUGGAAGAGGGUAGGUUUAGACUAAAUAUUAGGAAGAAAUUUUUCACUGUGAGGGUUGUGAGACACAGCAACAGGUUGUCCAGUGAGGUUGUGGAUUUCCCCUUCCUUAAAGCAUGCAAGGCCAGGCCGGAUGAGGCUAUGAGCAACCUGGUCUAGAAAGAGGUGUCCCUGCCUACAGCAGGGAUUUGGAAUUAGAUGGUCACAAAGGUCCCUCCCAAUCCAAACCAUUCUAUGGGGCUAUGAUUCUGUGACAGUUACUGACUAAGACCUGAAACAGGAACCCUGAGAACAGUGUUCUGUCAUCACAUGCGAUGGAAGAAUAUUAUCAAAGUAAUCAAACUGUAGACAAAGGGAUUUAGAACACUUACAGCUGCAUUCAGCUCUCCAGAUGAAGCUCAAGACAGCUUGUAGGCACACAAAGCAGCAGGCUCAGCUGCCAGCAUAGCAGAAUCGCUCUGAUCUUCCAGCGAUACAAGUGAGAAUCACUUUGCAAACAUAGCGAUGUGAUGCUUGCUCAGAUGAGCUUACAGAUUUAAAAUGAUAAUGAGAAGACAACACAAAUGGAUGCAAGAGAUGAAAAAAGAACCACUUGGAUCCCAGAUGUCAGAUAUAAAGAAUUUCAAGUAGUCUGAAUAUGAAACAGUAAUCAGCUGCAUGAUAUCUACAGAGCACUGUGAUCAACUCUUUCUUUAUUGUGUCAGCAGAAAUUCACUCUAAUGAUUUCAAAUUCAUUUCAAGUAAAGCUCCUUUCUUAAUUUCUUUAGAUUGAAAAUCCUAAAGUAAUUUCCUUUCCAGCCUCAAUCAUGCUUGAUUCUAGGGAGUUAAAUAACAUGGGAGAGGAAUAGUCCACAAAAGCCCCAAAAU
Molecule: non-coding RNA, 869 nt
Organism: Meleagris gallopavo (turkey)
Lineage: Eukaryota; Metazoa; Chordata; Aves; Galliformes; Phasianidae
Source: RefSeq, a predicted model, not a curated record